GCAGCCAGCUGUACUAGUUGCAUAGUUUAGACACCAGUUUGAUAAUAAAUAAACAAAAGUAUCAACAAUGUUCUUAGAUGCUCGCAUCAGCCACCCAGAACUGAAAGGCUUUAUUUUAAAACAUUCGUAUAAGUUUGGAUUGUGGAUUGUUAUUGGAUCUCAUAAUAUUUGUUUUUGUCACUUCAGCCUCGGUCGCCCUCACCCUCAUGAAUUCGCCGAUGCGGACGCAGACGGACCCCGUAGAUAAGAUAUAAUAUACGAGCGCCGUUCAGAAAUAGCACCCGUGCACCCUACACCCCACCCAUGGCAUACCCCGACCGGAAACGGGAAAUGGAAACGCAAUGCAAUAUUAUCUUUUGUCGCCUGAUUCUGCCGCUAUUCUUAAUCCCUGUCCCUUCAGCGAAUCGGAUUCGUUGUGUCUGGCGCUGCAGACUCUGCCUCAUGGCCUUGAAGAGCAGUGCAGUUUUCUCGAUUUCUCGAUUUCUCGAUUAUGUUGAAUUGUUCUCCAAGGGCUGCCUGCCAGUGGCUGCCUGCACCUGCUGUCUCCCCUAGUAACACCGGUCUCUUGCUCUCUCCAUCCCCACUCUCACUGUGUUUCUUCAUUGCGAGUGCACACAUGGUGCUCAGAUGCUGGCGUAAGUACAUAAGUUCGAGUGGCUGUCCCUAAUUGGCACUGCUGCACAUUCCAUGUUUAUUAAUAAUUUUCCAGAACUUCUCUUUGCUCUGACCGCCAGGCUUGGAGGUCGCAGCCUUUGUCACUUAACCCUGUGUCGCCUCUAAAGAGUGGCACGGUCAGUGCAUUGGUAGUUUUAAUUAAUGUAAUGCUCCCCGUCACCGUGUUUCCUAAUUGAACUCAUUUGCCGCUGUUCCACAUAAUAAACGCCACUAUUUUGGACAAGCCAAGCCAAGUAUGGG
Molecule: long non-coding RNA, 915 nt
Filed under: Drosophila guanche
Lineage: Eukaryota; Metazoa; Arthropoda; Insecta; Diptera; Drosophilidae
Source: RNAcentral